AAGACUAUAGACCUGCGGAGUACCUGCGGAAGGAUCAUUAGUGAACGCCCUCACGGGCUUAUAACUAUUCCAAACCUCUGUGAACCGUGCCCUUCGGGGCUAUUUUACAAACAUGGUGUAAUGAACGUCAUAUAUCAUAACAAAACAAAACUUUUAGCAAUGGAUCUCU
Molecule: unclassified non-coding RNA, 169 nt
Filed under: soil metagenome
Description: partial contains 5.8S ribosomal RNA, internal transcribed spacer 2, and large subunit ribosomal RNA
Source: RNAcentral